GAUGAACGCUGGCGGCGUGCCUAAUACAUGCAAGUCGAGCGAACAGAUGAGGAGCUUGCUCCUCUGACGUUAGCGGCGGACGGGUGAGUAACACGUGGAUAACCUACCUAUAAGACUGGGAUAACUUCGGGAAACCGGAGCUAAUACCGGAUAAUAUAUUGAACCGCAUGGUUCAAUAGUGAAAGACGGUUUUGCUGUCACUUAUAGAUGGAUCCGCGCCGCAUUAGCUAGUUGGUAAGGUAACGGCUUACCAAGGCAACGAUGCGUAGCCGACCUGAGAGGGUGAUCGGCCACACUGGAACUGGGACACGGUCCAGACUCCUACGGGAGGCAGCAGUAGGGAAUCUUCCGCAACGGGCGAAAGCCUGACGGAGCAACGCCGCGUGAGUGAUGAAGGUCUUCGGAUCGUAAAACUCUGUUAUUAGGGAAGAACAAAUGUGUAAGUAACUAUGCACGUCUUGACGGUACCUAAUCAGAAAGCCACGGCUAACUACGUG
Molecule: ribosomal RNA, 497 nt
Filed under: uncultured bacterium
Lineage: Bacteria
Description: partial 16S ribosomal RNA
Rfam family: Bacterial small subunit ribosomal RNA
Source: RNAcentral